RNAcentral lists this ribosomal RNA (253 nucleotides) under uncultured bacterium. Its description in RNAcentral is "partial 16S ribosomal RNA". It matches the Rfam family "Bacterial small subunit ribosomal RNA", at positions 524 to 776 of the family's 1533-position model. The record is from RNAcentral.
UACGGGGGGGGCAAGCGUUGUUCGGAAUUACUGGGCGUAAAGGGCUCGUAGGUGGCCAACUAAGUCAGACGUGAAAUCCCUCGGCUUAACCGGGGAACUGCGUCUGAUACUGGAUGGCUAGAGUUUGGGAGAGGGAUGCGGAAUUCCAGGUGUAGCGGUGAAAUGCGUAGAUACCUGGAGGAACACCGGUGGCGAAGGCGGCAUCCUGGACCAACACUGACGCUGAGGAGCGAAAGCCAGGGGAGCAAACGGG